Oncorhynchus keta (chum salmon) is the source of this 1310-nucleotide long non-coding RNA. RefSeq lists it as uncharacterized. Lineage: Eukaryota; Metazoa; Chordata; Actinopteri; Salmoniformes; Salmonidae. The transcript is spliced from 2 exons. The record is from RefSeq and is a predicted model, not a curated record.
GACAUGGCACUUGCAAUUACAGAAUAGUGGGUUCGAAUCCCGGGACAACCCAUACGCAAAAAGUAUGCAGCAUGACUAUAAGUCUACAAGUUGCUUUGGAUAAAAGCUAAUUUCUAUAUUAUUUUAUAAAAACAGGGAUAACAUGUUAUAAACGCCUAAUGUAUACUAUUACCCUCUCUGAUGCAGGGUCUUCCAACACUAUACAGGAAGGCUAUGCAUGUUAUACAUAUGUAAUUAACAGGGAAACGUGUUAUUAACACCUAGUGUAUAUUGUACAUAUGUACAGUAAGGACAUAAACACCUUACAAAUGUGAUAUAAACAUCUAUAGGGUUUACCCUAAUCUCAUUACUAAGGUCAUUUACAAAUGUAAUAUAAACAUCUAUGGGGUUUACCCUAAUCUCAUCACUAAGGUCAUUUACAAAUGUGAUAUAAACAUCUAUAGGGUUUACCCUAAUCUCAUCACUAAGGUCAUUUACAAAUGUGAUAUAAACAUCUAUAGGGUUUACCCUAAUCUCAUCACUAAGGUCAUUUACAAAUGUGAUAUAAACAUCUAUAGGGUUUACCCUAAUCUCAUCACUAAGGUCAUUUACAAAUGUGAUAUAAACAUCUAUAGGGUUUACCCUAAUCUCAUCACUAAGGUCAUUUACAAAUGUGAUUUAAACAUCUAUAGGGUUUACCCUAAUCUCAUCACUAAGGUCAUUUACAAAUGUGAUAUAAACAUCUAUAGGGUUUACCCUAAUCUCAUCACUAAGGUCAUUUACAAAUGGCUAUAAUGGUAUUAUACAUGUGCUAUAACCCAUUAUUUUAAGGCUGCAAGGUCAGGCCUUACCAGGGAGCUCAUUAUCAUUACAAACCCGGGUCUCUGGUGUGAAAGGCAAACACCCACCGUAUCUCAACCAAUAGAGUUAACCCACUUGGUGGGAAUGUAACGUGGAUCCUAUAGCGAAGAUCGCUGCAAUAUCAUUAACAUGUUCACCAGCUGGAAGCCUGAUUACAGUAACAGGAGUCUGGUAAACGAGGCUAGAGAAACAUCCAUUAACCAUUAUGUAAACACUGUGGAAAAACAAUAUGAACACAGGUACAAUAGAGUACUAUAAACUCUUUGGAACUCUUUGUGUAAAUGUGUAAUAAUGGAUUUCAUUAACCAAUAAGAGUGAGAUGCGAUAAAGGAGAAUGAUGUGAUUAUACAUUUGCUCUCGCAUGAAACAUUCCCAAGUUAGUUCAGGUGAAGAGAGAUUCCUGUACAGCACUUUGAGAUAUCAGCUGAUGUACGAAGGGCUAUAUAAAUAAAAUUUGAUUGAUUGAUUGA